RNAcentral lists this ribosomal RNA (405 nucleotides) under uncultured bacterium. Its description in RNAcentral is "bacterial SSU rRNA". It matches the Rfam family "Bacterial small subunit ribosomal RNA", at positions 355 to 774 of the family's 1533-position model. The record is from RNAcentral.
UAGGGAAUAUUGCACAAUGGGCGAAAGCCUGAUGCAGCGACGCCGCGUGAGCGAAGAAGUUCUUCGGAACGUAAAGCUCUGUCCUUGGGGACGAAAAAAAUGACGGUACCCAAGGAGGAAGCCCCGGCUAACUACGUGCCAGCAGCCGCGGUAAUACGUAGGGGGCGAGCGUUGUCCGGAUUUACUGGGCGUAAAGGGUGAGUAGGUGGUUUGAUAAGAUAGGGGUGAAAUCCCAGAGCUCAACUCUGGAAUUGCCUUUAUAACUAUCAGGCUUGAAUUAUAGAGAGGAUAGUGGAAUACCCAGUGUAGAGGUGAAAUUCGUAGAUAUUGGGUAGAACACCAGUGGCGAAGGCGACUAUCUGGCUAUAUAUUGACGCUGAGGCUCGAAAGCAUGGGGAGCAAACA